RNAcentral lists this long non-coding RNA (225 nucleotides) under Lathyrus oleraceus (garden pea). RNAcentral's name for it is "Pisum sativum (pea) long non-coding RNA (PSAT_LNC014236)". The record is from RNAcentral. Lineage: Eukaryota; Viridiplantae; Streptophyta; Magnoliopsida; Fabales; Fabaceae.
AACACACUAAAGAGUCCUUCAACUACAUCAGCAGAUAAAACAGGCAAAAUCUUCCCACGAUGUUGCUUGAAGUCCAAGGGAUCUAAUACAAAAGAUGAUAGCUUCCUUAGCUCUUUCAAAUUCGGACAUUUGAAACUGUACUUCAUAGUGUUCCUUCGUCCAUAAUCCAUGGUCUGAAAAUAUUUGCAAAUAAAACCUCAGUUCCUUGAAGCUAUUUUUCGUGUG